AUGGUGCAGUACGUUCAGCUUUGGCGCUUGGUGCGUCACACUACUCUCUCCAAUGAGCCGGACACGCUACGCUGGCGUUGGACCUCAUCUGCUACAUACACGGCAAGCUCUUGCUACAAGGCCCUAUUCUUCGGCGCUUGUGAAGACCCUUUCUGGCGGCUCACCUGGCGACCUUGGGCCCCGCUCCGCAUCAAGUUCUUCCUUUGGCUGGCCAUGCAAAACCGAUGCUGGACCGCAGAGCGCCUGGCUCACCGCGGAUUGCCCCACGACGACGCUUGCGUAUUGUGUGACCAGGACGAAGAGACCAUGCACCACCUUCUUGCCGGUUGCUCCUUCUCUCGCCAAAUUUGGCAUGAGAUCCUCGGCUGGGCACGUGUGCCCAUCAGCCUCCCUGCCCCCGACACGCCAUUCCAAGUGUGGUGGCAAUCCUCCCUCGACAUCGCGCCCGCUUCCAUGCGCAAGGGUAUAUCCUCCCUCAUCAUCCUCACAGCUUGGUGGAUUUGGAAGCAACGUAAUGCCUGCAUCUUUGACGGCGCGACACCAUCGAUCACCUUCACUCCGACACCAUCAAGGACGAGGCACGACUAUGGGCCAAGGCGGGCGCCACCGGACUGCAAAACAUUAUCCCCGGCGCGUAGUCUCUAG
Molecule: ribosomal RNA, 645 nt
Filed under: Triticum aestivum (bread wheat)
Lineage: Eukaryota; Viridiplantae; Streptophyta; Magnoliopsida; Poales; Poaceae
Description: partial small subunit ribosomal RNA
Source: RNAcentral